GCCGGUGUAGCUCAGCGGUAGAGCAACUGAUUCGUAAUCAGUAGGUCGAGGGUUCAAAUCCCCCCACCGGCUCCA
This 75-nucleotide transfer RNA is filed under the name Deltaproteobacteria bacterium. RNAcentral's name for it is "tRNA-Thr". It matches the Rfam family "tRNA". Rfam says of the family: Transfer RNA (tRNA) molecules are approximately 80 nucleotides in length. Their secondary structure includes four short double-helical elements and three loops (D, anti-codon, and T loops). The record is from RNAcentral. RNAcentral also lists the same sequence under 1 other name. Lineage: Bacteria; Pseudomonadati; Myxococcota; Myxococcia.